Molecule: transfer RNA, 68 nt
Filed under: Marmota monax (woodchuck)
Lineage: Eukaryota; Metazoa; Chordata; Mammalia; Rodentia; Sciuridae
Description: tRNA.Ala
Source: RNAcentral
GGAUUGUAGCUCAGUGGUUGAGCACUUGCCUCGCACAUGUGAGGCACUGAGUUCGAUCCUCAGCACCA